This 278-nucleotide ribosomal RNA is filed under the name uncultured bacterium. RNAcentral describes it as "partial 16S ribosomal RNA". It matches the Rfam family "Bacterial small subunit ribosomal RNA", at positions 29 to 334 of the family's 1533-position model. The record is from RNAcentral.
AACGAACGCUGGCGGCAGGCCUAACACAUGCAAGUCGAACGAACCCUUCGGGGUGAGUGGCGCACGGGUGCGUAACGCGUGGGAAUAUGCCCAUAGGUAGGGAAUAACGUCUGGAAACGGCCGCUAAUACCUUAUAAUGUCUUUGGACCAAAGAUUUAUCGCCUAUGGAUUAGCCCGCGUCUGAUUAGCUAGUUGGUGAGGUAAUGGCUCACCAAGGCGAUGAUCAGUAGCUGGUCUGAGAGGAUGAUCAGCCACACUGGGACUGAGACACGGCCCAG